This 1791-nucleotide long non-coding RNA is filed under the name Bemisia tabaci. RNAcentral's name for it is "lncRNA ENSSSA1NGG011656". Lineage: Eukaryota; Metazoa; Arthropoda; Insecta; Hemiptera; Aleyrodidae. The record is from RNAcentral.
CAUCCUCGUCAGUUUUGCAGUCUGCGAGUUCAACGAAAGAAAACGUUUAACAGCGCUGUUUAAUACGGUACCGCACCGCCGUUGCUAUGUGUACAUUCAGGGAAAUCUUAAUCUGUACAUCGUUUGCCGUCUGUUUCUCUCAGUUGCUAAUAGUAUGCAAAGCAGACCAAGAUGUAACGUAUAAUUUCACGGCAUUAAGUGACGCUGAUAUAGUUUCAUAUGGAAAAGACCUUCUCUUGAAGCCGAAGGAUGAAUUCAAGGAAUACGGCAAGGAACUGAUCAAGCGAUAUUACUCUGCCGCGCGAGUUUUUGAUGUUGUGAAUGCUACUAUCCACGAAGCGAAAAGAUUUGCAGUCGAGAAGAAUCAGAGUGUGGCUGAAAAACCCGCGGGCGGUAUGACAUUGUUCCCCACCGCUUUCCCAACUGCGGCUUCCAAACCGAACGCUCAAGUUACCCUCUUCCCGAUUACAAAUUCCAAGACAAAUAGUGGGCCGACUCAGUUUUCCUCCUCCCUCCCAACUUCGAAUUCCAAAGCAACCCCAACCGACUACAGCAAGCUCACCAAUGAACAGCUAUUGGCCAUGGGAAAAGAGCUGAACCAGAAAGUUCGCGAUGAUCUGUCAUCGGCCAAAGGAGUUUCAGCAGUCGUCGAUCGAGCCAAAGAGCAAAAGAUAACCCUCGACCAAACAUGUCAGCGAGUCCUUGCAGAAACCCUGAAAACGUUUUACGAUUCUAGCACUAAGACUCACGAGCAAACCAAGGGCGUGGUUGAUGAGGUGAAGAAACGCACAGGACUUAACACCCCUCCAAAAUCCGGCCUCCCUAAACUCAACAUCUAAGAAGUUACAUAUGCAUCACGCAUGAUCUUCAUUCACAGCACCCAACAUAAUCCCAUUGCAAUGUUCUUCAGCCUAUAUACGAGGACAAAUUUCUCAGAGCAUUUAAAGGAACGUUCUGAUGUUUCGUCAUCGAAUUUCUUUUUUUUUACAAUCGGGAUUCCCAUCCAUUCUACCGUCCUAAGAAAAAACGCCGUAUGAGCCUUCAGACGUUGCCAAGUUUCCUCCGAUAAAAAUAGAAUUAACUGUGUAAAAUUGUGAAUAUUAUUUUCCACAAUUUACAGACAAUUUUGUACGCAAUUUCAUCUAAAAUUCUGAAAAUUCCAAAAAAAAUAUGCAAGAAUGUUGUCAAAAAUACAUGUUUUAUCCAGGGAAAUUUGGCAACUCUCGAAUGUUCAUAAGGCGUUCUUCCUUAGCACGGCAGCAUUGUCCUAUUGGAAUUCUGGAAUGGCUUUCGUAAAAGGUGUCCUGUCAUCGGAACAGUGAGAAUUCUAGCUGUUUCAAAAACUAAUAUGAUGAAGAGAUGAUUAAUCGGAAAAUUCUCCUUCAUGCAGCAAUCUUGACAUUUCACAGAUUAAGACUUGUUAUAUUAGUGCCUUAACUUUUUGUAUUCGGUUUUUUUUUUAGAAUUUUAACGACUCAAGCGUUGUUGAAAAUAAAUGUUACUUGUUCCAAUUGAUGUGUCAUCAUUUUCUUUUCCUGUGAGUAAUUUUGAGACUCUUCAAACAUGAAUGACUAAGCCAAAAAUGGGUCCAUGCAAGUAUCUACUCGACACGUUACUAUGGCGUCAUUUCCGUAACCCUGAGAAAUAAAAAUAUAUUUACCGAGAGAAAAAAAAAAAUUUCUCAAGAAAAAAAAAUAUAUGUAGAAAUUAUUUUUCACCCGUAGAAAUAUUCCUGCUACUUCGAAUUUUUUUUCAUACGUUUCAGGGGUGAAAAAAACACUGUUUAUAGUG